Molecule: ribosomal RNA, 369 nt
Filed under: uncultured organism
Description: bacterial SSU rRNA
Rfam family: Bacterial small subunit ribosomal RNA
Source: RNAcentral
CGGAGGAUGCUAAGCGUUAUCCGGAUUUAUUGGGUUUAAAGGGUGCGUAGGCGGAUAAAUAAGUCAGUGGUGAAAGUCUGCAGCUCAACUGUAGAAUUGCCAUUGAUACUGUUUAUCUUGAGUACAGCUGAGGUGGGCGGAAUAUGACAUGUAGCGGUGAAAUGCUUAGAUAUGUCAUAGAACACCGAUUGCGAAGGCAGCUCACUAAACUGUUACUGACGCUGAGGCACGAAAGCGUGGGGAGCAAACAGGAUUAGAUACCCUGGUAGUCCACGCCCUAAACUAUGAUCACUCGAUGUUGGCGAUACACUGUCAGCGUCUAAGGGAAACCAUUAAGUGAUCCACCUGGGGAGUACGGUCGCAAGACUG